RNAcentral lists this ribosomal RNA (253 nucleotides) under uncultured bacterium. RNAcentral's name for it is "partial 16S ribosomal RNA". It matches the Rfam family "Bacterial small subunit ribosomal RNA", at positions 524 to 776 of the family's 1533-position model. The record is from RNAcentral.
UACGAAGGAUCCAAGCGUUAUCCGGAUUUAUUGGGCGUAAAGAGCUCGUAGGCGGCUCGUCGCGUCGGCUGUGAAAACCCGCAGCUCAACUGUGGGCUUGCAGCUGAUACGGGCGGGCUAGAGUUCGGUAGGGGAGACUGGAAUUCCUGGUGUAGCGGUGAAAUGCGCAGAUAUCAGGAGGAACACCGGUGGCGAAGGCGGGUCUCUGGGCCGUAACUGACGCUGAGGAGCGAAAGCAUGGGGAGCGAACAGG